AUCUAAUUGAUAUUUAUUAUUUAUAAAAUAAGAUAUUUUUUUAUUAUAUACUGUAUCUUAUUUAUUUUAAGAUUAUAAUGAACCCCAUAGGUUUGAGCAAUGAUUUUAGAGCCAUAAUGAGAUUAUACCAGUGAAACCUAAUUCUUUGAUAGCUCUAACUCAAAAUAUUUUUAGUCAUUGGUACAUUGAGUCAGGGAUCAAUGAUACCAGUAAGACUGCCAUGCCCUAUGUAUGCUCAGAAAUGAGGGUGAUUGAUCUCACAACUUGUUGCCCAGCUAUGCA
Molecule: long non-coding RNA, 282 nt
Filed under: Elaeis guineensis (African oil palm)
Lineage: Eukaryota; Viridiplantae; Streptophyta; Magnoliopsida; Arecales; Arecaceae
Description: long non-coding RNA (EGUI_LNC072525)
Source: RNAcentral